AUGGGAUUCGAAUGCGCUGUCGUUUGUAAAUUUCGACUUGUGCGGGAAACGUCUCAAAGAUUU
This is a non-coding RNA of Angomonas deanei, 63 nucleotides long. The record is from Rfam. Lineage: Eukaryota; Euglenozoa; Kinetoplastea; Trypanosomatida; Trypanosomatidae.